UACGUAGGGUGCGAGCGUUGUCCGGAAUUAUUGGGCGUAAAGAGCUUGUAGGCGGUUUGUCGCGUCUGCCGUGAAAGCCCGGGGCUUAACUCCGGGUCUGCGGUGGAUACGGGCAGACUAGAGGCAGGUAGGGGAGAACGGAAUUCCUGGUGUAGCGGUGAAAUGCGCAGAUAUCAGGAGGAACACCGGUGGCGAAGGCGGUUCUCUGGGCAUUACCUGACGCUGAGGAGCGAAAGUGUGGGGAGCGAACAGG
This 253-nucleotide ribosomal RNA is filed under the name uncultured bacterium. Its description in RNAcentral is "partial 16S ribosomal RNA". It matches the Rfam family "Bacterial small subunit ribosomal RNA", at positions 524 to 776 of the family's 1533-position model. The record is from RNAcentral.